ACCAAAAAUAUUUAAAUUAAAGAAAUGGGAUAAAACCCAAGUUUUUCUGGUAAUACAUUUAUAAGUGGGACAAAACCCGAUUUUCAUUUUGAUACAUCUAUAGGGAAUGACCCCAAUUAUUGAAAACAAUUCUCAUUUUAAUUAGGUAACUUUUAUUGCCACUUUUCUAAGCCUUCAGUGCUCUCCAGCUGGCUUUUAUUGGCUUCACACUAAGUUACCUGCAGCUACAUGAUCGUAAUCCAAGAUGUGCAAAAUGCCGUUUGGUUAUCGGCUAUUAAAGUGCAUGUGAAGCAUUGUUUUGUGAUGUUCAAAGGCUCAGAUCCAAAUGCUCAGAAACUACAUCUCGUUGUGGCUGCAAAUAAACCCAUCAUUUGAAAGGAAGCCAACAAAGGCUUUGCAAACACGCAACAUGCACCAUAGAUCAAGCAACCAACGGGAAAAAAAACGUUCAAAUCCUUCUCAUAUUAAUAGAUAGGGUAAUUGCCAUGCCAAACAACGAUCUGACCAAUUUUUUGGGUAUCAUCAUCGCCUAGCCAACCAUGGGGUAAUGACAUAACCCACGGACUUCGGUUUUCAAGGUAUAAGCUCAAAAAUGUUAACUCAUUGUGGCUGCAGUGAACAUGAUUGCCAGACCAAAACAAUGAGUUUACCAAUUAUUUAAGCCAAUGGUCCUAUAAGUUCAACAUUUGAUGCUCAGACUACACAGAUACAUCAUCACAGGUGUUAUGACAUUGUUGUUGACUGAACAACAUGAGCUUCCAAUUGUGAUAACGGCUCAGAUGAGUCAACGCCCAGCAUCACAGCCUCAAAACAUUAAACAUCACAAACGAAUUGAGGCAGAAAAUAAAUUCAAAAACGUCUCCGAUGAGCCACAAAGAUAUGAAGCAUUGGCUCAUCAUCAUCGACCAAACCAGAUACCGAUUAAACCAUCAAACAAAUAACAGAGACCAAAUGAAAAAGCCCUAAAUAAAAUUAGGGCUUAAACAACCAACAAGUCAGAUUGCAUCAUAAAUAAUGGAAAGCCAUAUUUUUUAUAUAAGGAUGAAAAGGCCAAACGUAAAGCCGCUGUCACCAUCCAUAGCCCGCCACCGAGAACCGUCGUAUCAGAACCCUAAAGGGUUCGAUGAGCAAAACGGUACGGCAAACAGGAUGGCACCAAACGGAGGCGGCAACGGAUCUAGACGACAGAGCAUAGCCAUCGUCCGCGUUGACUGAGGGGCACACAGCGAAG
Molecule: long non-coding RNA, 1231 nt
Organism: Helianthus annuus (common sunflower)
Lineage: Eukaryota; Viridiplantae; Streptophyta; Magnoliopsida; Asterales; Asteraceae
Exons: 2
Source: RefSeq, a predicted model, not a curated record